This 1245-nucleotide ribosomal RNA is filed under the name uncultured bacterium. Its description in RNAcentral is "bacterial SSU rRNA". It matches the Rfam family "Bacterial small subunit ribosomal RNA", at positions 18 to 1261 of the family's 1533-position model. The record is from RNAcentral.
CCUGGCUCAGGAUGAACGCUGGCGGCGUGCCUAAUACAUGCAAGUCGAACGCUUUGUAAAGGAGCUUGCUUCUUUACGAGGAGUGGCGAACGGGUGAGUAAUACAUAAGCAAUCUGCCCAUCGGCCUGGGAUAACAGUUGGAAACGACUGCUAAUACCGGAUAGGUUAGUUUCUGGCAUCAGGGACUAAUUAAAGUUGGGAUACAACACGGAUGGAUGAGCUUAUGGCGUAUUAGCUAGUAGGUGAGGUAACGGCCCACCUAGGCGAUGAUACGUAGCCGACCUGAGAGGGUGACCGGCCACAUUGGGACUGAGACACGGCCCAAACUCCUACGGGAGGCAGCAGUAGGGAAUUUUCGGCAAUGGGCGAAAGCCUGACCGAGCAACGCCGCGUGAGUGAAGAAGGCCUUCGGGUUGUAAAGCUCUGUUGUGAAGGAAGAACGGCUCAUAGAGGGAAUGCUAUGGGAGUGACGGUACUUUACCAGAAAGCCACGGCUAACUACGUGCCAGCAGCCGCGGUAAUACGUAGGUGGCGAGCGUUAUCCGGAAUUAUUGGGCGUAAAGGGUGCGCAGGCGGUUUGAAAAGUUUAAGGUGAAAGCGUGGGGCUUAACCCCAUACAGCCUUAGAAACUGUCAGACUAGAGUACAGGAGAGGGCAAUGGAAUUCCAUGUGUAGCGGUAAAAUGCGUAGAUAUAUGGAGGAACACCAGUGGCGAAGGCGGUUGCCUGGCCUGUAACUGACGCUCAUGCACGAAAGCGUGGGGAGCAAAUAGGAUUAGAUACCCUAGUAGUCCACGCCGUAAACGAUGAGAACUAAGUGUUGGGGAAACUCAGUGCUGCAGUUAACGCAAUAAGUUCUCCGCCUGGGGAGUAUGCACGCAAGUGUGAAACUCAAAGGAAUUGACGGGGGCCCGCACAAGCGGUGGAGUAUGUGGUCUAAUUCGACGCAACGCGAAGAACCUUACCAGGUCUUGACAUACCAGGCAAAGCUAUAGAGAUAUAGUGGAGGUUAUCCUGGAUACAGGUGGUGCAUGGUUGUCGUCAGCUCGUGUCGUGAGAUGUUGGGUUAAGUUCCGCAACGAGCGCAACCCUUGUCUUUAGUUACUUACAUUAAGUUGAGGACUCUAGAGAGACUGCCGGUGACAAACCGGAGGAAGGUGGGGAUGACGUCAAAUCAUCAUGCCCUUUAUGAUCUGGGCUACACACGUACUACAAUGGCGGAUACAACGAGAAGCAAGACAGCGAA